Molecule: ribosomal RNA, 391 nt
Filed under: uncultured eukaryote
Lineage: Eukaryota
Description: partial 18S ribosomal RNA
Rfam family: Eukaryotic small subunit ribosomal RNA
Source: RNAcentral
CAAUAGCGUAUAUUAAAGUUGUUGCAGUUAAAAAGCUCGUAGUUGGAUUUCUGUGAGAGUGCCGGUGUCGGCUGAUGCUUGUACGCAGGCGCUCUUACAUCCUUCUGUUAACUGUUCUUGGCAUUUUAUUGCUGGUUCAGGGCUCAGAUAUUUUACCUUGAGAAAAUUAGAGUGUUUCAGGCAGGCUUAUGCCGGAAUACAUUAGCAUGGAAUAAUGGAACAGGACCUGUGCGUCUCUCGGGGCGCCGGUCUCCGUUGUUGGUUUCGGGGACUAAUGUAAUGAUUAAUAGGGGUAGUUGGGGGCAUUAGUAUUUAAUAGUCAGAGGUGAAAUUCUCGGAUUUGUUAAAGACUAACUUAUGCGAAAGCAUUUGCCAAGGAUGUUUUCAUUAA